RNAcentral lists this unclassified non-coding RNA (262 nucleotides) under Hevea brasiliensis (rubber tree). Lineage: Eukaryota; Viridiplantae; Streptophyta; Magnoliopsida; Malpighiales; Euphorbiaceae. The record is from RNAcentral.
GGAAAAACAAACAUCUCCAGCUCGUCGCAUGUGAUCUUUCAGAUCUUGCCAUGAAGCAUUAGAAGGUAAGCCACUGACCAAAACACGAAAGUCUGAGCGCCUGGAGAUGCUUCCGCGGAAGCUUCCACUGUUGUGAUUGCUGUAACGAUCUACUGGUGAUGGGCGACCUCUUCCACCGUGUGCAAGUUCCACUCGUAAUCUGUGACCAUAGAAAUCAUAACCAUCACGGCCAUCAAUAGCAUCUUCAGCAUCAUGAGAAUCC